UCGAUCUUAGACUUCGACGGUAGAUUGUAGGUAUACUUCUGCCCCUACCAAUCCUUAUCCCAGUGAACACAACUGACCUCAGCCAUCUUCUUCCUUCAAUGCCUAUAUUCAUCAGACCACUCUGAAGUCUCCUCAAUUGAAGCUAGACUGAUCCUACCUGUGUCUUCAUUUCAAAUUCAAAAGUGCUUGCAACACCACUGUUAGCUUCGAAAUAGAUAAGGCAAGCAUAAAUAUCCAGUCCUGAAGAUCUCA
This 252-nucleotide long non-coding RNA is filed under the name Elaeis guineensis (African oil palm). RNAcentral's name for it is "long non-coding RNA (EGUI_LNC080194)". The record is from RNAcentral. Lineage: Eukaryota; Viridiplantae; Streptophyta; Magnoliopsida; Arecales; Arecaceae.